AAACUUUCAACAACGGAUCUCUAGGCUCUUGCAUCGAUGAAGAACGCAGUGAAAUGCGAUAAGUAAUGUGAAUUGCAGAAUCUCGUGAAUCAUUGAAUCUUUGAACGCACAUUGCGCCCUAUGGUAUUCCAUUGGGCAUGCCUGUCUGAGCGUCAGC
RNAcentral lists this ribosomal RNA (157 nucleotides) under Terfezia boudieri. RNAcentral's name for it is "5.8S ribosomal RNA". It matches the Rfam family "5.8S ribosomal RNA". From Rfam's summary of the family: 5.8S ribosomal RNA (5.8S rRNA) is a component of the large subunit of the eukaryotic ribosome. It is transcribed by RNA polymerase I as part of the 45S precursor that also contains 18S and 28S rRNA. The record is from RNAcentral. Lineage: Eukaryota; Fungi; Ascomycota; Pezizomycetes; Pezizales; Pezizaceae.